GGUAUAGCUAAAUUGGUAGAGCGUGAGACUCUUAAUCUCAGGGUUGUGGCUUUGAACCCUAUGCUGGCCA
Non-coding RNA from Podarcis lilfordi (Lilford's wall lizard), 70 nucleotides. The record is from the annotation of a GenBank genome assembly. Lineage: Eukaryota; Metazoa; Chordata; Lepidosauria; Squamata; Lacertidae.